UGGGGAAUAUUGGACAAUGGGCGCAAGCCUGAUCCAGCCAUGCCGCGUGUGUGAUGAAGGCCUUAGGGUUGUAAAGCACUUUCACCGGAGAAGAUAAUGACGGUAUCCGGAGAAGAAGCCCCGGCUAACUUCGUGCCAGCAGCCGCGGUAAUACGAAGGGGGCUAGCGUUGUUCGGAAUUACUGGGCGUAAAGCGCACGUAGGCGGAUCGAUCAGUCAGGGGUGAAAUCCCGCAGCUCAACUGCGGAACUGCCUUUGAUACUGUCGGUCUAGAGUAUGGAAGAGGUGAGUGGAAUUCCGAGUGUAGAGGUGAAAUUCGUAGAUAUUCGGAGGAACACCAGUGGCGAAGGCGGCUCACUGGUCCAUUACUGACGCUGAGGUGCGAAAGCGUGGGGAGCAAA
This 400-nucleotide ribosomal RNA is filed under the name uncultured bacterium. RNAcentral's name for it is "bacterial SSU rRNA". It matches the Rfam family "Bacterial small subunit ribosomal RNA", at positions 355 to 772 of the family's 1533-position model. The record is from RNAcentral.